UUGAAAGGGAAACGAUUGAAGUCAGUCGUACCAGCGGGAAAUCAACCUUUCGAGUGGGGGUUUUGGAGUUUUGAAGAGUGUCAAAACCUUUGAGAUUUCAAAAUUUUCGCUCUUUUGGUGUACUUUCUCGUGGGUAGGUUAACAUCGAUUUUGAUCAUCAUAAAAAGAUUGGAGGAAUGUAGCUUCGAUCUUGUAUUGAAGUGUUAUAGCCUUUGGUAAAUGUGAUGAUUAGGAUCGAGGAUUGCAACGAGUACCCUUUUGGGCUAUCCGCCUGAUCUCUGAUACGUGGCCUUGGUAUCGAAAGCGUGCUUAUGGUAUUGAGGUAUUACGGUCAAAAGGUUAGAACGGAUUACAUUCGUUAAGGAUGUUGACGUA
This 375-nucleotide ribosomal RNA is filed under the name uncultured Glomeromycotina. RNAcentral describes it as "LSU rRNA". The record is from RNAcentral. Lineage: Eukaryota; Fungi; Glomeromycota.